GAGUGAACGCUGGCGGUAGGCCUAACACAUGCAAGUCGAACGGCAGCACAGUAAGAGCUUGCUCUUACGGGUGGCGAGUGGCGGACGGGUGAGGAAUACAUCGGAAUCUACUUUUUCGUGGGGGAUAACGUAGGGAAACUUACGCUAAUACCGCAUACGACCUACGGGUGAAAGCAGGGGAUCCUCGGACCUUGCGCGAUUGAAUGAGCCGAUGUCGGAUUAGCUAGUUGGCGGGGUAAAGGCCCACCAAGGCGACGAUCCGUAGCUGGUCUGAGAGGAUGAUCAGCCACACUGGAACUGAGACACGGUCCAGACUCCUACGGGAGGCAGCAGUGGGGAAUAUUGGACAAUGGGCGCAAGCCUGAUCCAGCCAUACCGCGUGGGUGAAGAAGGCCUUCGGGUUGUAAAGCCCUUUUGUUGGGAAAGAAAAGCAGCAGGUUAAUACCCCGCUGUUCUGACGGUACCCAAAGAAUAAGCACCGGCUAACUUCGUG
Molecule: ribosomal RNA, 493 nt
Filed under: uncultured bacterium
Lineage: Bacteria
Description: partial 16S ribosomal RNA
Rfam family: Bacterial small subunit ribosomal RNA
Source: RNAcentral